GGUUGGCGUUUGUCUCAUACGAUAAGCCCCACACCAAUCCGGAAAAGAAGACCACCUAUAUCAUCUUCGUCAAGAAGAGCGAAAACAAUGAAGAAGAAGGCGACUCAAACGAGACGGAGAGCUAGAAAUAGACCCGCAACGGAAAGCCAAGAAAAUGCUACAGAUAAUUAAUUCUAUUAUGAAGAAACGAGCAAUCAAGCUAAUGUGAACACUGGCAUAUCUGCGUUUUGCGUGCAAUGUCAUAACUGAUAACUAGCAAACACUAGCGAAAUCACAACAAUUCUACAUUUAAUGUUCUUCUCGAUGAACCGUUGUGAAUUCACUGCAAUGUUAACUCAAUGUGUGUGGCCUGUUCUUGCGUCCUUGUGUACUAUCAACAUAGAGCAGAUCACAGUCCGCGAAAAUAUGACAUCGUGUAUUUUAACGCCUUCGUUAUGUCACACGACAACAUAAGAAGGAUGCUUUGCACCUUGACCUUUAGACCCACCCACUCCAUUUGCCUAAUAGCUGAUAACGGAGUCUUUGCUAAAAAGUGGUUACGUGAUAUAGAUUUUACACCGAGUUAAAAGUUUGAACUGUUCCUGUUGAGACUGAUAGAGCGAAGCAUCAAGCAAUGUUUUCUACACAUGAGCUCAAAGAGAAGUGCCCAAAUAUGAUAUAUGGUGACAGAUUGAUGUCAAACACAUAUCACAUGUUUGAAGGCCUUGCCAAUAAAACAUUUUCACUUCGGUUA
Molecule: long non-coding RNA, 733 nt
Organism: Branchiostoma floridae (Florida lancelet)
Lineage: Eukaryota; Metazoa; Chordata; Leptocardii; Amphioxiformes; Branchiostomatidae
Exons: 2
Source: RefSeq, a predicted model, not a curated record